GGCUCAGGGAGAGUAAGGGAAGGGCUUCUGGGGCUAGCCCCAGAUGCUACACUCUUUCUUCUUUCCCUAUACCAUGGCCACGUCUCUGAAGAGUCUCUUUCUCAUGAACUCUCCUCCUACUUCACAAUUUGAGUGUGCCAUUAUUUUCGACUGGGACUUUGCUAUAUCUAUGAAAGAAUAUCAGGAUGCCCUCUCUCUGGACCUUGCUUCCGAGCAGCAGUUGCUACAGGGCCCUAUUUGUACAUUUCCAGGAUCGAUGUAGGAAGAAGUACAUUGCUGUGUGUUUGUAACUCAGGCCAUCAUUUGAGGGUGCCAUUUUCCUUUUUCUUGAUAACCCCUUGGCAACUUUCCCUCCUCUACUGAGAGCAGUCUUGUUGGAGCUGUCAGUCAACGGACCCUGAGAUCCAAGCCCAGGGCAGCUGAGCCAAACUAGGCCCAUGGAAUUCUCUCACCCAGAAAACUGACUCUUCAGCCCAGUUAUUGCAAUGAAGGAAAGUGGCCAUUGCAGAGCCCUAAAAAUAAAGUUCAUAGUUUCUACCUGGAUCCCAGACUUACUCUGGUUCUCAGCUUUUUCAUGCUUGAUUCUUUUUAGUUUUUCCUUCAGUUCUGUAGACUAUCUCAUACCCUUACAAUAAAAUGUUUUGCUUGUUAUCCAGAAUCAG
This 662-nucleotide long non-coding RNA is filed under the name Mustela putorius furo (domestic ferret). Its description in RNAcentral is "lncRNA (ENSMPUG00000030497.1)". The record is from RNAcentral. Lineage: Eukaryota; Metazoa; Chordata; Mammalia; Carnivora; Mustelidae.